AUAUGUGGGUGGCCAACCAGUUAAGUUAAUAAGUGCUUCAAGAUUGAUCCGAGAAUUGUUUCCGUGGUGUAUCAAUCUUCUUCUUUUCAACAACAAUUGGAUUAUCAUCGAAAUCGUGCUCCACAUUCCCUCAUGAAUGGCCUUGACAACAGCAUAACCUCCUCGUCGGAAUCAUACCCAACACGAAGUGCAUCCGACGCCAACAUGAAACCCACAUCUUUCUCAGAAAAAUCUAUACCGAAACAUCCUCAUCAUCGUCCCUACACAUCUCCACCUUCUCUUUCGCUGGAUAUAUUACCGAAAUCAAUAUCAUCAACAUUUUCGCGGCGUUAUUGGCGACGGCGGCCAUGUUGGUAGCGUCUCGAUCAUCGUAUUCAAUGUUGUCUAGGUCGGUGUAUUCGUAAUUGUUGUGAGCAGCACCACCAGAACGAGAGCAAGGUGGUCGCUCGAAGUUGUAGAUUGGUUGGCGAUUGAUGCCGAAGCGUUCGAAUCCGAACUUUCUCUUCAACAUGUGUGAUUGGAUUUAAUGAACGGAAGGACGUUGAAUAUGCACGCAAGUUGUUCGACAAAAUGCCGGAGAAAAACUUGGUUACAGGUUUUUCAGUCCUAACAUCUCUUCAUAUUGAUUAUCCAAUGUUGUUUGAUCUCUGCAAUGCUGCUGCUGAGCGGGUUUCUCACUCUGGGGUUUUGGAGUUCAUUGCAGAAGAAGUUUGGAGACAACGCUGAGGAACUUUUCUUGCUUAACCACAGGGGAUAGUAUUAUGGUGGCAUACAACAACACAAAAUAUUACAUAGACAUUAUAGAAACAAAUCCUUCUAAUGCAGUAAGUAUCAUUGAAACAGACUACGAGGUGGAUUUUUCACCUCCACUUGACUACAAGGAACCGGAAAAACCACUUGCAUCUGCUUCUGCAAGCCAGGCACUGGCAGAAGGUCAAGAGGCUCCGGAGCUUCCUCUGGGUCCAAAGACAAACGACCUGAAGUCACCAAUGGUGGUGCCGGGUCUAGUUCACAAGGUACCUCUCGUCGGUCUCAGGGAAAGCUUGUGUUCGGGGGCUCAAAUGUAAACCGUGCUAAGGAAACACAAAAGGAAGCUGCAAAAGAGACUAAACUGGAGCAGCCCCAACAGAAAGAAGAGCCAAAGUUCCAGCCUUUUUCGGGGAAUAAAUACUCACUGAAGGGUUGAUUGGAUUCUAUAGAAUCAAUGUCUUUAACUUAUAUUGUUCCCAUUCACCUGCGGGUCAGAAUUACAAGGACUACAUUGAACUGAAAGUAACACCAAAGAAUGAAACAGUGGGUUGUUUCAAAAUGAAGAAUAGAAUAUUUCUUUUGUGAAGUUCAUUAUUUGCUUGCGAUUGUGGCUGCAUUUUUCAAAGUUUGUGCAUGUUCUGUUUUUGCAUCCUGUGCCACCUCUCUCUCUCUCUAUCUCUCCGUGUCUCUUAAAUGGCUGCUUCACAGGCUGGUUAAUGUUUUGCUUUCCCUUUCUUCAUUCCUGUACGGCCAUUUCUGUAUUGACGAUGAUGUCAUGAAAGCUCGUAGGUCAUCUGUAGUGCAGAACAAUGGCCAACAGUUCUUUAUUUCUUUACAGUCACGCGUCGAUUAGGUGCCCAUUCCGUGAAGACAAUCACUAGCUUUAUCUGCUGGCUGUUUUUGGUGGUCAAACCACAUUUUUGUACUCAGUUGCAAGAGCUUUAAAACCCUCUUCAUUCCUGCACCCUUCUUUCUACGAUAUUUGGCAAGAGCAAAACUCCGGAGUCUUUGAAAGCAAAUCAUGUUCCCAAAAUUCAGUGAUGAAUUGUAUCAACUCUCCAUCGGAGCAAUGGGAGUUGAGGUACGCGGUGCCAUGUUAUUUCUUUUUAAUAUACACAUUUUUUUUCAGAUCAGUCCCACUUUGCUUUGUGCUUACCAUGGUAUUUUGUAUUUCAUCUGAGGAAAGUUUGGAAGGAAAAUUGUUCGGAGAGGAUCUUGUUCCAAAUUUUUUAUUUUUCAGAUUAAUAAAUACUCACACGACAUGCUCGAACUACUUCCCUCCUCUUUGAAGAUGGGAGGUUGUACCAUUGAUCCCGAAACCCUUUAGUCUUUCGUUAACAGAUGACCUCAUGACAGGUUUUCACAGUGAAAUUGAUGGAAAAGUAACACCUGUGAAAUGAGACUUUUUGUUUGCCAACUAUGAAAUUCAAAGCUUUUACUGUACCAAUUGCACGAACUACUGUUUUGGUAGGGUAUCCGAAGCCCGAUUUCAGUAGAUGUGGAUCACUAAAGUCUAAUCAUUAAAACUUUACAUACUAACACUUGGAUUGUAGGCAGCAGGUUGGUGUGGGAUGAAUUAUUAAUGCAUGAUAACAGUCUUGUCUUUCUUGUGCAAGUGGCCUUGGCCGGCCAAUCAACGUUAGAUACGUCAAAAAAUAUGUAUGUAUAUAUAUUUAUUAAAUUUGUACAUUUUUGAUACAAUUACUUGUGCCUGUAUUGGAUUCUUGGAUACCAUAUAAU
Cornus florida is the source of this 2490-nucleotide RNA transcript. RefSeq lists it as uncharacterized. NCBI's taxonomy places the organism in Eukaryota, Viridiplantae, Streptophyta, Magnoliopsida, Cornales, Cornaceae. The transcript is spliced from 5 exons. The record is from RefSeq and is a predicted model, not a curated record.